This 464-nucleotide ribosomal RNA is filed under the name uncultured bacterium. RNAcentral's name for it is "partial 16S ribosomal RNA". It matches the Rfam family "Bacterial small subunit ribosomal RNA", at positions 339 to 795 of the family's 1533-position model. The record is from RNAcentral.
CUACGGGGUGCAGCAGUAGGGAAUAUUGCGCAAUGGACGAAAGUCUGACGCAGCAACUCCGCGUGAGGGAUGAAUGUCUUCGGAUUGUAAACCUCUGUUGAUAGGGAAGAAAUGUUGUGUGACUAAUAUGCACAUGAUUUGACGGUACCUGUUUAGAAAGCUCCGGCUAACUACGUGCCAGCAGCCGCGGUAAUACGUAGGGAGCUAGCGUUGUUCGGAAUUACUGGGCAUAAAGAGAACGUAGGCGGAUUAGUAAGUUAGGAGUUUAAUGUAUCGGCUCAACCGGUAUUUAGCUUUUAUACUGUUAAUCUUGAGUGUGUUAGAGGAAGGCGGAAUUCCGAGUGUAGCGGUGGAAUGCGUAGAUAUUCGGAAGAACACCAGUGGCGAAGGCGGCCUUCUGGGACAUAACUGACGCUGAGGUUCUAAAGCCAGGGGAGCGAAGAGGAUUAGAUACCCGUGUAGUC